UACGUAGGGGGCAAGCGUUGUCCGGAUUCAUUGGGCGUAAAGAGCGUGUAGGCGGCCAGGUAGGUCGGUUGUGAAAACUGGAGGCUCAACCUUCAGAGGUCGACCGAAACCAUCUGGCUAGAGUCCGGGAGAGGAGAGUGGAAUUCCCGGUGUAGCGGUGGAAUGCGUAGAGAUCGGGAAGAACACCCGUGGCGAAGGCGGCUCUCUGGGACGGUACUGACGCUGAGACGCGAAAGCGUGGGGAGCGAACAGG
This 253-nucleotide ribosomal RNA is filed under the name uncultured bacterium. RNAcentral describes it as "partial 16S ribosomal RNA". It matches the Rfam family "Bacterial small subunit ribosomal RNA", at positions 524 to 776 of the family's 1533-position model. The record is from RNAcentral.